UACGUAGGGGGCAAGCGUUGUCCGGAAUUAUUGGGCGUAAAGGGUGCGUAGGCGGCCUUUUAAGUCAGAUGUGAAAGCCCACGGCUUAACCGUGGGACUGCAUUUGAAACUGGAGGGCUUGAGUAUCGGAGAGGGUAGUGGAAUUCCCAGUGUAGCGGUGGAAUGCGUAGAUAUUGGGAGGAACACCAGUGGCGAAGGCGACUACCUGGACGAAAACUGACGCUGAGGCACGAAAGCUAGGGGAGCAAACAGGAUUAGAUACCCUGGUAGUCCUAGCCGUAAACGAUGGGUACUAGGUGUAGGAGGUUUCGAUACCUUCUGUGCCGCAGUUAACGCAAUAAGUACCCCGCCUGGGGAGUACGUGCGCAAGCAUGAA
This 376-nucleotide ribosomal RNA is filed under the name uncultured bacterium. Its description in RNAcentral is "bacterial SSU rRNA". It matches the Rfam family "Bacterial small subunit ribosomal RNA", at positions 524 to 898 of the family's 1533-position model. The record is from RNAcentral.